This is a long non-coding RNA of Ricinus communis (castor bean), 1386 nucleotides long. RefSeq lists it as uncharacterized. The record is from RefSeq and is a predicted model, not a curated record. The transcript is spliced from 2 exons. NCBI's taxonomy places the organism in Eukaryota, Viridiplantae, Streptophyta, Magnoliopsida, Malpighiales, Euphorbiaceae.
AGUUAUCUGCAAUUUAUAUUUAAAAUACUUCAGACACCUGACGAAGCCCAGGUGGGAACUAGGUCAUGUGUUCUACUGAGAAACUGAAUGAUUAGUUAGUAGAGGAGUGUUAGAUGAAGAAGGUUGGAAGCUCUUCAGCAUGGGAACUUCCCUCAAUUUUUGUUUCAGCGUUUUGGAAAUGAUACCAAAAUGAAAAUUCAGAAUUGGAAUCUAGUUUACUGUUUGGAUUCACGUUUCCUUCAUGGAAAAAUAAAGAUGAAAACAGAAUGAAUAAAAAGAUAAAUAGGUAGGAUUACCUAUGUGUUAAGUUGUAGGGCCAUUGCUUACCAAUUAGCUUUAAAGUGAUCAUCCACAGUAUCAGAAUUUAACAUGGGAGAAUUCAGGGAUUGCAUACCACCAUAUAUUACAGUUGAGCCAAUUUGGUUGAUGAUAAAAGUGUCCACCACAGGGCUGCAAAUGAUAUUUGUCCGAGUCUCCAGUGGUAUUCCUUGAAUCUCAAGGUUGAUAACAUCAUCCCAGCUCUCAAAGUAAAAGGCAUGACUCUCCCACGUCUCCUUCCCAUAAUGCCUUUCCAUGGAGAAAACCUUAGAUCUUCGAGGUGUUGAAACAUUUACAGCAACAGUAUUAUUAGAACAUUCUUUGCUUCCUGGAGCAAGGGUGAAAGUGAGGACACUGUAACUGGAAUCAGCUUUAAAUGUCUGGUUGAUCUUUCCAUCCUGACCCAACUGCAAUCCAUGACCCUCCCCUGGUAAUGAUAAGUUCGAACCAGCAGUUACAUACCAGACCGAACCGCCGAAUGACCAUCCAGGUAUUUUAUUGAUUCCAUUUUGGAGCAAGAUUGGUUUGCUGGUGUUUGAGGUUAUAUUGGUCGGAGGAGAUUCAAAAUCUGGAUUCUGCAGGAGAUCUGUAACACAGUUGUUUUUUCGUUAAAGACCAGCAUUAUUCGAGAUGAACAGCUUGGUUCCAGAUAUGCUUACCUCCAGUUGAGAUUCCAACGAAGAGGAACAAGAGAAGCAUUGAAUUAGCCAUGAUCAGAGGAGAUGGAAGCUUGGAAAUGCAUUUCUUUUAUGGAUGGCAAGCUCAACCAGAAUUUGAACCAGCCAUAAGGUUGACUUGCUUUAGGAAGGUAUGCAAGCUACUUUCACAGCUUUGACUUUGAAUGAAUAAUGCAUUGCGUUUGUGUGCAAGAAAUUUCAAAAUUUUGUCAAUUGUUAUUAGAAUUACCGUAUAUAAGGAAUCAACGAUAUUUCCCCAUGUUGUCUAGUUACUUGGCGGCAAAGUAUGUAUGUGGGAUUAAGGUAUAGACCUGAUUUUAUCUCCAAAUGUACUAGAUUAUUCCUCAGGCUCGAUAAGAUAUUUUCUGGAAAAUAUUUUUCAAGAGAUUAA